Molecule: ribosomal RNA, 255 nt
Filed under: uncultured bacterium
Lineage: Bacteria
Description: partial 16S ribosomal RNA
Rfam family: Bacterial small subunit ribosomal RNA
Source: RNAcentral
GUCCACACCGUAAACGAUGAUUACUAGAUUUGGCCUUAUGGUCAGAGUCCAAGCGAAAGUGUUAAGUAAUCCACCUGGGGAGUACGUCCGCAAGGAUGAAACUCAAAGGAAUUGACGGGGCCCGCACAAGCGGUGGAGCAUGUGGUUUAAUUCGAUGAUACGCGAGGAACCUUACCUGGGCUUGAAAGUUAGUGACCGCUCCUGAAAGGGAGCUUUCCGCAAAGGACACGAAACUAGGUGCUGCAUGGCUGUCGU